UCUUAGCAACCUCCAGUGUUUGGCUGCGACUCUACGUCUGCUACGAUAAGGAGCUUCACAAAUUCUAAAAGCAAUCGCAUUGAAACAGAUAGCAUCACCUUUCUCGAGAAUUUUACGGUAUAUUGGCAAAUUUCUGAUUUGAACAAGCUCUUCACUCCUCUCGACACAGAUUAACUGCAGAACAGCCUCUUCAAGCUCGAAUACUUCAGCAAAUCGCAACGUAGUAUGGUAAAGAGAAUCAAUACGAAAAACGCAAGAAUCCCGAUCUGGACUUCCUUCGAGGUCAGCAAUACAACUCAAAAUAGAGUUGCGAAGGAGACUUACAAUGUAUAACCUGUCUGCCAUGUUUUAGGGUUGUAGACAUGUAGGUAAAACAAUUGGUUUAUUUUGUUUUCAUUAUUACCGCAUCAAGAAAAUAAAUUAUAAA
This is a long non-coding RNA of Xenia sp. Carnegie-2017, 427 nucleotides long. RefSeq lists it as uncharacterized. The transcript has 2 exons. The record is from RefSeq and is a predicted model, not a curated record. Lineage: Eukaryota; Metazoa; Cnidaria; Anthozoa; Malacalcyonacea; Xeniidae.